This 213-nucleotide ribosomal RNA is filed under the name uncultured bacterium. RNAcentral describes it as "partial 16S ribosomal RNA". It matches the Rfam family "Bacterial small subunit ribosomal RNA", at positions 524 to 735 of the family's 1533-position model. The record is from RNAcentral.
UACGUAGGGUGCAAGCGUUGUCCGGAAUUAUUGGGCGUAAAGAGCUCGUAGGCGGUUUGUUGCGUCGGCUGUGAAAUCCCGAGGCUCAACCUCGGGUCUGCAGUCGAUACGAGCAAACUAGAGUGUUGCAGGGGAGACUGGAAUUCCUGGUGUAGCGGUGAAAUGCGCAGAUAUCAGGAGGAACACCGGUGGCGAAGGCGGGUCUCUGGGGCC